GAUGAACGCUGGCGGCGUGCCUAAUACAUGCAAGUCGAGCGAACGGACGAGAAGCUUGCUUCUCUGAUGUUAGCGGCGGACGGGUGAGUAACACGUGGAUAACCUACCUAUAAGACUGGGAUAACUUCGGGAAACCGGAGCUAAUACCGGAUAAUAUUUUGAACCGCAUGGUUCAAAAGUGAAAGACGGUCUUGCUGUCACUUAUAGAUGGAUCCGCGCUGCAUUAGCUAGUUGGUAAGGUAACGGCUUACUAAGGCAACGAUGCAUAGCCGACCUGAGAGGGUGAUCGGCCACACUGGAACUGAGCCACGGUCCAGACUCCUACGGGAGGCAGCAGUAGGGAAUCUUACGCAAUGGGCGAGAGCCUGACGGAGCAACGCCGCGUGAGUGAUGAAGGUCUUCGGAUCGUAAAAAUCUGUUAUUAGGGAAGAACAUAUGUGUAAGUAACUGUGCACAUCUUGACGGUACCUAAUAAGAAAGCCACGGCUAACUACGUG
Molecule: ribosomal RNA, 497 nt
Filed under: uncultured bacterium
Lineage: Bacteria
Description: partial 16S ribosomal RNA
Rfam family: Bacterial small subunit ribosomal RNA
Source: RNAcentral